RNAcentral lists this ribosomal RNA (301 nucleotides) under uncultured bacterium. RNAcentral's name for it is "partial 16S ribosomal RNA". It matches the Rfam family "Bacterial small subunit ribosomal RNA", at positions 509 to 807 of the family's 1533-position model. The record is from RNAcentral.
CAGCCGCCACGGGAAUACGAAGGGUGCAAGCGUUACUCGGAAUUACUGGGUGUAAAGCGUGCGUAGGUGGUGGUUUAAGUCCGUUGUGAAAGCCCUGGGCUCAACCUGGGAAUUGCAGUGGAUACUGGGUCACUAGAGUGUGGUAGAGGAUAGUGGAAUUUCCGGUGUAGCAGUGAAAUGCGUAGAGACCGGAAGGAACAUCUGUGGCGAAGGCGACUAUCUGGGCCAACACUGACACUGAGGCACGGAAGCGUGGGGAGCAAACAGGAUUAGAUACCCGUGUAGUCCCUGUCUCUUAUAC